UACGUAGGGUGCGAGCGUUGUUCGGAAUGACUGGGCGUAAAGGGCGCGUAGGCGGGAUGGUAAGUCGUAUGUGAAAUCCCCGGGCUUAACCUGGGACGUGCAUACGAUACUGCUGUUCUUGAGUACUGGAGAGGGUGUUGGAAUUCCAGGUGUAGAAGUGAAAUUCGUAGAUAUCUGGAAGAACAUCGGAGGCGAAGGCGGAUGCCUGGCCAGAUACUGACGCUGAGGCGAGAGAGCGUGGGGAGCAAACAGG
This 253-nucleotide ribosomal RNA is filed under the name uncultured bacterium. RNAcentral describes it as "partial 16S ribosomal RNA". It matches the Rfam family "Bacterial small subunit ribosomal RNA", at positions 524 to 776 of the family's 1533-position model. The record is from RNAcentral.